RNAcentral lists this ribosomal RNA (414 nucleotides) under uncultured microorganism. Its description in RNAcentral is "bacterial SSU rRNA". It matches the Rfam family "Archaeal small subunit ribosomal RNA", at positions 459 to 872 of the family's 1478-position model. The record is from RNAcentral.
CAGCAGCCGCGGUAAUACCGGCGGCCCGAGUGGCGGUCACUAUUAUUGGGCUUAAAGCGUCCGUAGCCGGGUUGGGAAGUCCUCCGGGAAAUCUGGCCGCUUAACGGUCAGAAUGCCGGAGGAUACUCCCAGCCUAGGGGGCGGGAGAGGCCGAGGGGAUUCCCGGAGUAGGGGUGAAAUCCUAUAAUCCCGGGAGGACCACCUGUGGCGAAGGCGCUCGGCUGGAACGCGUCCGACGGUGAGGGACGAAGGCCAGGGGAGCAAACCGGAUUAGAUACCCGGGUAGUCCUGGCUGUAAACGAUGCGGACUUUGUGUCGGACAAGCUAUGAGCUUGUCCGGUGCCGGAGGGAAACCGUUAAGUCCGCCGCCUGGGGAGUACGGCCGCAAGGUUGAAACUUAAAGGAAUUGGCGGG